AGUGUUUAUAUUUAUUCUUGAGCAUAGGUAUGCCGUACUAUUAAAAGGUGACAACACCAAACAUGCUCUUAGUUGACCUAAAUAAGAAUAGCCUUUGUGAGACUUGAGUGAUUCUUGAGAAAUCUUUGAGUUGGGUUAAGCGAGUGAUCUUGUGUGAGCAUUAGUGAGUUGAGAAGAGCAAUCCAUAGUUUGAGCACUUGUGGUUCGCGUCGAGAAAGCCUUUGAAGCAUUUGUUACUCUUG
RNAcentral lists this long non-coding RNA (242 nucleotides) under Setaria italica (foxtail millet). RNAcentral describes it as "long non-coding RNA (SITA_LNC002512)". The record is from RNAcentral. Lineage: Eukaryota; Viridiplantae; Streptophyta; Magnoliopsida; Poales; Poaceae.